RNAcentral lists this ribosomal RNA (252 nucleotides) under uncultured bacterium. RNAcentral's name for it is "partial 16S ribosomal RNA". It matches the Rfam family "Bacterial small subunit ribosomal RNA", at positions 524 to 776 of the family's 1533-position model. The record is from RNAcentral.
UACGUAGGGGGCAAGCGUUAUCCGGAUUUACUGGGUUUAAAGGGUGCGCAGGCGGAGGCACAAGUCAGCGGUAAAAAUGCGGUGCUCAACGCCGUCGAGCCGUUGAAACUGGCGUUCUUGAGUGGGCGAGAAGUAUGCGGAAUGCGUGGUGUAGCGGUGAAAUGCGUAGAUAUACGGAGGAACACCAGUGGCGAAGGCGGAUUGCUGGACAGUAACUGACGCUGAGGCGCGAAAGCGUGGGGAGCAAACAGG